AGAUUAAGUUAUUAAGGGCGCACGGUGGAUGCCUUGGCACUAGAAGCCGAUGAAGGACGUUACUAACGACGAUAUGCUUUGGGGAGCUGUAAGUAAGCUUUGAUCCAGAGAUUUCCGAAUGGGGAAACCCAGCAUGAGUUAUGUCAUGUUAUCGAUAUGUGAAUACAUAGCAUAUCAGAAGGCACACCCGGAGAACUGAAACAUCUUAGUACCCGGAGGAAGAGAAAGAAAAUUCGAUUCCCUUAGUAGCGGCGAGCGAAACGGGAAGAGCCCAAACCAACAAGCUUGCUUGUUGGGGUUGUAGGACACUCUAUACGGAGUUACAAAGGACGACAUUAGACGAAUCAUCUGGAAAGAUGAAUCAAAGAAGGUAAUAAUCCUGUAGUCGAAAAUGUUGUCUCUCUUGAGUGGAUCCUGAGUACGACGGAGCACGUGAAAUUCCGUCGGAAUCUGGGAGGACCAUCUCCUAAGGCUAAAUACUCUCUAGUGACCGAUAGUGAACCAGUACCGUGAGGGAAAGGUGAAAAGCACCCCGGAAGGGGAGUGAAAUAGAACCUGAAACCGUGUGCUUACAAGUAGUCAGAGCCCGUUAAUGGGUGAUGGCGUGCCUUUUGUAGAAUGAACCGGCGAGUUACGAUUUGAUGCAAGGUUAAGCAGUAAAUGUGGAGCCGUAGCGAAAGCGAGUCUGAAUAGGGCGUUUAGUAUUUGGUCGUAGACCCGAAACCAGGUGAUCUACCCUUGGUCAGGUUGAAGUUCAGGUAACACUGAGUGGAGGACCGAACCGACUUACGUUGAAAAGUGAGCGGAUGAACUGAGGGUAGCGGAGAAAUUCCAAUCGAACCUGGAGAUAGCUGGUUCUCUCCGAAAUAGCUUUAGGGCUAGCCUCAAGUGAUGAUUAUUGGAGGUAGAGCACUGUUUGGACGAGGGGCCCCUCUCGGGUUACCGAAUUCAGACAAACUCCGAAUGCCAAUUAAUUUAACUUGGGAGUCAGAACAUGGGUGAUAAGGUCCGUGUUCGAAAGGGAAACAGCCCAGACCACCAGCUAAGGUCCCAAAAUAUAUGUUAAGUGGAAAAGGAUGUGGCGUUGCCCAGACAACUAGGAUGUUGGCUUAGAAGCAGCCAUCAUUUAAAGAGUGCGUAAUAGCUCACUAGUCGAGUGACACUGCGCCGAAAAUGUACCGGGGCUAAACAUAUUACCGAAGCUGUGGAUUGUCCUUUGGACAAUGGUAGGAGAGCGUUCUAAGGGCGUUGAAGCAUGAUCGUAAGGACAUGUGGAGCGCUUAGAAGUGAGAAUGCCGGUGUGAGUAGCGAAAGACGGGUGAGAAUCCCGUCCACCGAUUGACUAAGGUUUCCAGAGGAAGGCUCGUCCGCUCUGGGUUAGUCGGGUCCUAAGCUGAGGCCGACAGGCGUAGGCGAUGGAUAACAGGUUGAUAUUCCUGUACCACCUAUAAUCGUUUUAAUCGAUGGGGGGACGCAGUAGGAUAGGCGAAGCGUGCGAUUGGAUUGCACGUCUAAGCAGUAAGGCUGAGUAUUAGGCAAAUCCGGUACUCAUUAAGGCUGAGCUGUGAUGGGGAGAAGACAUUGUGUCUUCGAGUCGUUGAUUUCACACUGCCGAGAAAAGCCUCUAGAUAGAAAAUAGGUGCCCGUACCGCAAACCGACACAGGUAGUCAAGAUGAGAAUUCUAAGGUGAGCGAGCGAACUCUCGUUAAGGAACUCGGCAAAAUGACCCCGUAACUUCGGGAGAAGGGGUGCUCUUUAGGGUUAACGCCCAGAAGAGCCGCAGUGAAUAGGCCCAAGCGACUGUUUAUCAAAAACACAGGUCUCUGCUAAACCGUAAGGUGAUGUAUAGGGGCUGACGCCUGCCCGGUGCUGGAAGGUUAAGAGGAGUGGUUAGCUUCUGCGAAGCUACGAAUCGAAGCCCCAGUAAACGGCGGCCGUAACUAUAACGGUCCUAAGGUAGCGAAAUUCCUUGUCGGGUAAGUUCCGACCCGCACGAAAGGCGUAACGAUUUGGGCACUGUCUCAACGAGAGACUCGGUGAAAUCAUAGUACCUGUGAAGAUGCAGGUUACCCGCGACAGGACGGAAAGACCCCGUGGAGCUUUACUGUAGCCUGAUAUUGAAAUUCGGCACAGCUUGUACAGGAUAGGUAGGAGCCUUUGAAACGUGAGCGCUAGCUUACGUGGAGGCGCUGGUGGGAUACUACCCUAGCUGUGUUGGCUUUCUAACCCGCACCACUUAUCGUGGUGGGAGACAGUGUCAGGCGGGCAGUUUGACUGGGGCGGUCGCCUCCUAAAAGGUAACGGAGGCGCUCAAAGGUUCCCUCAGAAUGGUUGGAAAUCAUUCAUAGAGUGUAAAGGCAUAAGGGAGCUUGACUGCGAGACCUACAAGUCGAGCAGGGUCGAAAGACGGACUUAGUGAUCCGGUGGUUCCGCAUGGAAGGGCCAUCGCUCAACGGAUAAAAGCUACCCCGGGGAUAACAGGCUUAUCUCCCCCAAGAGUUCACAUCGACGGGGAGGUUUGGCACCUCGAUGUCGGCUCAUCGCAUCCUGGGGCUGUAGUCGGUCCCAAGGGUUGGGCUGUUCGCCCAUUAAAGCGGUACGCGAGCUGGGUUCAGAACGUCGUGAGACAGUUCGGUCCCUAUCCGUCGUGGGCGUAGGAAAUUUGAGAGGAGCUGUCCUUAGUACGAGAGGACCGGGAUGGACAUACCUCUGGUGUACCAGUUGUCGUGCCAACGGCAUAGCUGGGUAGCUAUGUGUGGACGGGAUAAGUGCUGAAAGCAUCUAAGCAUGAAGCCCCCCUCAAGAUGAGAUUUCCCAACUUCGGUUAUAAGAUCCCUCAAAGAUGAUGAGGUUAAUAGGUUCGAGGUGGAAGCAUGGUGACAUGUGGAGCUGACGAAUACUAAUCGAUCGAAGACUUAAUCAAAUU
RNAcentral lists this ribosomal RNA (2927 nucleotides) under Staphylococcus aureus. RNAcentral's name for it is "bacterial LSU rRNA". It matches the Rfam family "Bacterial large subunit ribosomal RNA". Lineage: Bacteria; Bacillati; Bacillota; Bacilli; Caryophanales; Staphylococcaceae. The record is from RNAcentral.